RNAcentral lists this long non-coding RNA (2578 nucleotides) under Cimex lectularius (bed bug). RNAcentral describes it as "uncharacterized LOC112126693". The record is from RNAcentral. Lineage: Eukaryota; Metazoa; Arthropoda; Insecta; Hemiptera; Cimicidae.
UUCCUGAGCUAUUUGAAAUAUUCUAUAAAGCAGAUUGGAAGAAAGGGUUUUAACCUUAGCUAAUGGUAAAUCCAGUUAAUGCCGACUAUAUCUAGUAUAUUAGCUCUAACACUGAAUAUGAGUCAGAAGCUGAUAUCUAUUGAAAUAAACCAAGGACUAUGCAAUAUGCCACUGUUUGGCAGGAGACUGGAUAUUGAAGACAUGUUGCUUAUAGCCACCUACUCUGACAGCCAGAAGGCACUAAAAGCCAUUACUGCGUGUAAUUCCAGUUACCAGCAAGUGAUCGGUAAAGUCCAAAGCCUUUGGGGUUGCAUCAAGGCCCUGUUAUACACUAGCAACAUUAACAAAACUUACCCUUGUUUGAGUACUAGGACAUACAGGGCAGAGGGGCCGAUUAAUUGGCCAAGGAAGGAUCAAUGAGGACACCGAUCGGCCCUGAACCCUUUUGCUUCAAAUUGCCAAAAAGUACAUAAUGCAAUAAGUCCUCAGUUAAAUUGAUUUUUACUCCAGGACAGAGGCGAGCAAAGUUCGUUUAAACCUAGCAUGUGCUAGGGCCAGAAUGUUAGUAGGACUGCUGACUCCGGAGGUCUACUAAGACCUAAAACAUGUUACGACUAUAAUGACAGUAGGACUGUUGAAUCCGGAGGCCUACUAAGACCUAGAACUGUCAUGAUUAUAAUGAUAGUAGGACUGCUGAUUCCGGAGGCUUACCAAGACCUAGGACGGGACGUUUAUUGAAACGUUUCGAAAUAUAACGUAAGAUUGCUACUUGCGCAACAAGAAUCAGGAACAAAGCACGACUGGUUGAUAUUUGACAAAAAAAACGGUUGUCACGUUUGUUGAAUUUCAACAAAACGUGUGCGUGAGAUAAGUUAAUUAUUGAAAAGGUAGAGUUGCUAGACUAUCGUACCGGUCAUAUCAUGCUACGAAAUCGAGCCUUUAAUGUAAUAUAAUAACGGAACACUUAAGGACAGAUAGGUGAAAACUUACCGAAGCUUACACUUUGAGCAUAACUGUAGGCCCAUUAAAUUGUACGUUCCAACUUCCAUAAUCAAAUUAUCGAAGAAAGAACAAAACAAAUGAAAUGUAACUAAUUGUAAUUACGUUGUACCUUUUGGCCGUUUAAAGUAGUGAAUUAAAAGUCGAAAGAUUAAAACGUCUUGUUAUUAGCCCGGUAAUUAGGGAAAACAUUCUCUUUGUACCGUUUCAACUAUUUUCGCCCGUCUAUCUCUCCAUGUGUUGUUUCCCUCUGGUGUUAAAACCGAACGAAGCGUGAAUCCGCCGCGAGUUCAACUUUUCGUCCUUAGCAAUUAAAAAAGCAGUAAAUGUUAUAGCGAAAUGGUAAUUGCUCGAAUGAGACAUUGUGAAAUUAAUGGGUAUUGUAUAAUUAGCUGUGGUAGAACAGGGCUACCCAGUAAACCAGAUGACCCCCGAAAGGCUUGGGACCCUCGAGGAUGCCAUCAUGCUGGCCUAUAAGAAAGUAUCGGCUGGAGAAUCGCAGACGUUGGAUUGGAAAUUCAACAUAUGCACACACAGGUCAGGAUAUAUGGUCAUAACCUAUGAGGAUCAGGUUAGUGCUGACUGGCUAAGGGCGACCGUCCCAGCGCUGAAGCCGUGGAAGGACGCAGUCCCGAGACUUUGGCAGGGGACGACUUACCCAAGCCAAUUCCAGCACUACCUACAUACUGGAUCCCAAAACCGGAAGACUGGCGGCAGAGAGGAUUUUGGCUAGGCUAAAGACCUCAAACCGGAAGCUAAAUACACUGGGGAGAAAUCCAGCAGUAGAAGUGUAAACUUUCUUCAUGGACAACAACUCCUUUCAGGAGCUCCAGAAAGUGGACAUGCAUUCCACCUUGGAAUGGGAAGAAUUCGAUUCCUCGAAAAGGUAAGGGCGAAGAAGACGAAAGUCGAAAGGCUCAACUCGCACUUCCAACCACAGACGAAGAAGCAGACUCAGCAAAGGAGGCUAAGGAUUACACAAGCCCGCUCAAGAAGAUGCAAGGCCAACAGCAGGUAGAUCGAAUGGAGGAAGGUAUCCACACAGGGCCAUCCACUUCCGCCUAAUGUCAGACGGACAGGGAGGAAUAACAGUACUCCAUGUCAACCUCCAGCAUGCAAAGGCCGCAUCGAGCACACUGUGCAGGAGGUUUGACGGGGGGAGGGCGUCACCCUGAUCCAAGAACCUUGGUUGUAUAAUGGGAUUGUGAGAAUAAUAAACCUCCAACAAACACAGCUAUCCUAACAGCAAAGGCUGCGGGCGGAGAAUCAAGAUGGCUAAUCUGCUCAGCCUAUUUCCCAAGAGAAGUACCGUGCAUACCCAAGUUGCUGGACGACAUCGUGAGGUACUCCAGGGAACAAAACAUGAAACUAGUCAUGGGAUGUGACGCAAAUUGCCACCUUGUUGUAUGGGGUAGCACCGACAUCAACAACCGAGGUCUUUAACUGCAGACACCAUGGUACCAGCGAAUACUUCUCACACAUGAAUCCCAAAAGCUGCUGGUUUCAUUCGGCUCAUAAACCGCAUGCUGAAACUAUUAUUAACACUAGCUAAAUAUAAAAAAGAGUUACAUACAAUUAA